This 205-nucleotide long non-coding RNA is filed under the name Mytilus galloprovincialis (Mediterranean mussel). Lineage: Eukaryota; Metazoa; Mollusca; Bivalvia; Mytilida; Mytilidae. The record is from RNAcentral.
AGGUUAAAGUUUUUGGUCAAGGUAGUUUUUGAUGAAGUUGAAGUCCAAUCAACUUGAAACUAGUACACAUGUUCCUUAUGAUAUGAUCUUUCUAAUUUUAAAGCCAAAUUAAACUUUUGACCCCAAUUUCACGGUCCACUGAACAUAGAAAAUCAAAGUGCAUGUUUCAGGUUAAAGUUUUUAGUCAAGGUAGUUUUUGAUGAAG